This 253-nucleotide ribosomal RNA is filed under the name uncultured bacterium. RNAcentral describes it as "partial 16S ribosomal RNA". It matches the Rfam family "Bacterial small subunit ribosomal RNA", at positions 524 to 776 of the family's 1533-position model. The record is from RNAcentral.
UACGUAGGGCGCAAGCGUUGUCCGGAAUUAUUGGGCGUAAAGAGCUCGUAGGCGGCCUGUUGCGUCCGCUGUGAAAUCCCGGGGCUUAACCCCGGGCGUGCAGUGGAUACGGGCAGGCUGGAGGCAGGCAGGGGGGAACGGAAUUCCCGGUGUAGCGGUGAAAUGCGCAGAUAUCGGGAGGAACACCGGUGGCGAAGGCGGUUCUCUGGGCCUGUACUGACGCUGAGGAGCGAAAGCGUGGGGAGCGAACAGG